UACGAAGGGUCCAAGCGUUAUCCGGAUUUAUUGGGUUUAAAGGGUGCGUAGGCGGUUUGUCGCGUCGGAUGUGAAAACCCAGGGCUCAACCCUGGGCCUGCAUUCGAUACGGGCAGACUAGAGUAUGGCAGGGGAGACUGGAAUUCCUGGUGUAGCGGUGAAAUGCGCAGAUAUCAGGAGGAACACCGGUGGCGAAGGCGGGUCUCUGGGCCAAAACUGACGCUGAGGAGCGAAAGCGUGGGGAGCGAACAGG
RNAcentral lists this ribosomal RNA (253 nucleotides) under uncultured bacterium. RNAcentral's name for it is "partial 16S ribosomal RNA". It matches the Rfam family "Bacterial small subunit ribosomal RNA", at positions 524 to 776 of the family's 1533-position model. The record is from RNAcentral.